This 181-nucleotide small nuclear RNA is filed under the name Lynx canadensis (Canada lynx). Its description in RNAcentral is "U2 spliceosomal RNA (ENSLCNG00005008991.1)". It matches the Rfam family "U2 spliceosomal RNA". From Rfam's summary of the family: U2 is a small nuclear RNA (snRNA) component of the spliceosome (involved in pre-mRNA splicing). Complementary binding between U2 snRNA (in an area lying towards the 5' end but 3' to hairpin I) and the branchpoint sequence (BPS) of the intron results the bulging out of an unpaired adenosine, on the BPS, which initiates a nucleophilic attack at the intronic 5' splice site, thus starting the first of two transesterification reactions that mediate splicing. RNAcentral also lists the same sequence under 1 other name. Lineage: Eukaryota; Metazoa; Chordata; Mammalia; Carnivora; Felidae. The record is from Rfam by way of RNAcentral.
AUCGCUUCUUGGCCUUUUGGCUAAGAUCAAGUGUAGGAUGAAAUGUUCUGAAUAUAUCUGUUAAGUCCAUCUGGUCCAGUGUGUCAUUCAAAGACAUUGUUUGCUUGUUGAUUUUUUGAUUAGAUGAUCUGCCAUUGCUGUGAGUGGGGUUUUGAAGUCUCCUACUAUUAUGGUAUUACUA